RNAcentral lists this ribosomal RNA (483 nucleotides) under uncultured bacterium. Its description in RNAcentral is "partial 16S ribosomal RNA". It matches the Rfam family "Bacterial small subunit ribosomal RNA", at positions 29 to 507 of the family's 1533-position model. The record is from RNAcentral.
AUUGAACGCUGGCGGCAUGCUUUACACAUGCAAGUCGAACGGCAGCGCGGGCUUCGGCCUGGCGGCGAGUGGCGAACGGGUGAGUAAUACAUCGGAACGUGCCCAGUAGUGGGGGAUAGCUCGGCGAAAGCCGGAUUAAUACCGCAUACGACCUGAGGGUGAAAGCGGGGAUCUUCGGACCUCGCGCUAUUGGCGCGGCCGAUGGCAGAUUAGCUAGUUGGUGGGGUAAAGGCCUACCAAGGCGACGAUCUGUAGCUGGUCUGAGAGGACGACCAGCCACACUGGGACUGAGACACGGCCCAGACUCCUACGGGAGGCAGCAGUGGGGAAUUUUGGACAAUGGGCGAAAGCCUGAUCCAGCAAUGCCGCGUGUGUGGUGAAGGCCUUCGGGUUGUAAAGCACUUUUGGCGGGAACGAAAAGGACUGUGCCAAUACCACGGUUCGAUGACGGUACCCGCAGAAUAAGCACCGGCUAACUACGUG